RNAcentral lists this long non-coding RNA (6237 nucleotides) under Brassica napus (rape). Its description in RNAcentral is "long non-coding RNA (BNAP_LNC015568)". The record is from RNAcentral. Lineage: Eukaryota; Viridiplantae; Streptophyta; Magnoliopsida; Brassicales; Brassicaceae.
AUGUCCGAGAAGAAAGGAUGCACUCCUGCACAACUAGCCCUCGCAUGGCUUCACCAUCAGGGAGACGAUGUUUGCCCCAUCCCGGGAACUACUAAGAUCGAAAACCUCAAUCAGAAUAUUGGUGCUUUAUCAGUGAAACUCACUCCCGAAGAGAUGUCUGAGCUGGAGAGCAUUGGUCACCCAGAGUCUGUGAAAGGAGAAAGAUUCAGUAACAUGGUGCCCAACUUUAAGAACUCAGACACUCCACCAUUGUCUUCUUGGAAAGCCGCUUAAACCCCACCUGAAAGUUUCUCGGGCUAUGGUGGUAGGGUGGCAUUGAUGUGGUGUAACUUGUGCUAGAUAAGUCGAGGUAAUUAUAUGUAGAAGCUGCGGUCUUAUAUUGCAUCUUCGUGAGUUCCACCUAUGCAUGGCCCGUCUUUAGUCUCUCAGGGUUUACACCUUUUAAGAAUAAAAUAUGCAUAUUCAGGAGUUCGCCGAGAUAUCUACAAAACUUUGAACAUUUUCCUGAUUUGGAAUAUUCUACUUGAGGUUUCUUAUUAUUACCAUUCAGAUUAGUCCAAGGCAUUUUACCUCAACUUGGAAAUCUCAACUGGAAAUGACCCAACCAAAAACUGAACAGAACUGACCUGAAACCAAACUUAACUUUAUGAGUAUUUAUAUGAGUUUCAAACCGGUUCUUAUACAUUACUUUUAUUAAAUUAAAUAUUAAAAUAUUAAUUUAACAUAGGGAUUACCAUAACAAUGUUUUAUUAUAUAAGAAAGUAGUUUUGAAAAAUGAAUAAAAGAUUUAUUUUGAAAAUUUUAAAUCAUAAUAACCUACUUUUAGGUAUUUUGAAAGUAGUUUUAUGUUUUUAGGUAGGUGUUCUAAUCAGGUGUUCAGGUUUAGUCGGGUUUCAGUUCUUGAAAUUUAACGACAUUUAGAUAUUAGGAUAAUAUGGCAUAUCACAAAUCCGGUUGAAUAUAUUUUAAAUUGGGGUACAGUUUUAGUUUGUGUUUUAGUUAUCCAAAUUAAUAUUUGCUUGUGAUUCAAGAUUUGCACAUUUUAAUUCAGAAACUUCGUAAGUUUAAACAAUUUCUACUAACAAAUAUUUGGUGGCAAAAUUUAGAAAUAGUUGUAAAGAAAAGUAAACAUGAAUAAGUUAAAGCUGUCAACUAACAAGUUUAUAAAGAUAUGAUAUUAUUUAAAUUUCAAAAACCCAAAUAACAUCAUUCAAACUUUAUAAUCGAACUUAUUAAUAAUCACUUCCAGUGCAACUGUAAAAAAAAAAGUAAAACCUCAAUAUUUAUAUUUAAAAUGCUCAAAAUAGUGAAAACGAAUAAAAAGUUGUAUUUUCAAAUUAUCCUUAUAAUAAAUAAAUAGUUUUCCCUCAUUAUUAGCAUUCACCAACUCCAACGACCACUCUGUUCAAAACUCUACACAGAGUCAGAGAGAUAGAAAGAAAGAGGUGUGUGAUCGAAAUCCAUGGCGGAAGCUUGCGUUGUGAAGAGGAUGAAGCUUGGAAGCCAAGGUUUCGAGGUAUCAGCAGUGCCGGUCCUAGAUACUGAGGGUCCAAUACUAAAUACAAAACCGAGGCCCUUACAUGAAAAGUUUCUCGAUAAAAAAUUAAUUUUAUAAUAAAAAUUUUACAACAUCUUCAAAACUAUUAAAAUUUGAUCUUUUUGUAAAAAUAACACAUUUUAAUUUUUUUCUAAAAAUUAUCUAUCAAACUUUCAGAAUCAAGGUUUUUCUGAUCAUAUUUUUCUUAGUUGAUAACGUAGCCAAACUAUUAAAUAUUUAUUGUAAUAUAGUUAAUCGUGAGUAAUAUUUUUACAAUUGCAGUUUUGAGAAGCUUCUUUCGGUUGGAGCAUCUGAAACCUGGAUUGUAAACAAUACUCCCUCCGUUUCAUAUUGUAAUUAGUUUUAGGAAAAUGUUUUUAUUUCAAAAUGUAAGUAGUUUUCGUAUUUCUAGGUAACUUUUACAUUUAUUGAAUACAGUGUGACCAAUCAAAUUAAAUAGACUUAUUUUUUAUUGGUUAAAUUAAAUCUAACCUAUUUAUUAUAAAAUACUUUUUAAAAACAUAAUAAUUUUCUUAAUCUUCGUGUUUUUACCCAAAACUACUUAUAUUAUGAAACGUAUGGAGUAUAUUAUAGACAAUCUAUAUAUUUUGAUAAUUCUUUUUAAAUUUUUGUCUUGUAACUCGUAAGAAGAGGUAGUAGAAAAAGAGUGAAACACAAUUUCCUAUGAAAAAGGAGUAAUUUUGCCUGAAAAAUAAUUAUUUUUAAUCAGGUAUGUUAUUUUUUGACCUAAACAAAUUCAGCCAUGUUCUUUUUAAUCCACUCAUAUUAAAUAACAUAAAAGAAUAUGUACGAUUUAAUUGUGUUUGUAUAUAAAAGUUGUCUCGUCACUUUUUUUAACUUUUCUACAAUACACAUUGAUCCAUCUAAGUAACAACAAUAGAAAAAAUAGACCUUGUUUGUUUUUGAUAAAUCAUGGGCCCCAUACGAUUGUUUCACGUGUAUGGGGUCAAGCCCGGGCCUGUAUCAGCUCAAGGCCUUGGCUGCCUGGGCCUCUCCUCCUUCCAUGGUGAUCCUGCACGGGAAACUGACGCCAUCACUCUUCUCCACCACGCUGUCGACUCCGGCGUUACUUUCUUUGACACCUCCGAUAUCUACGGUCCUGAGACCAACGAGUUUAUCCUCUCCAGGGUGCCAUUUGAUCAUGUUCACGACACGUUGAUCAAACCGGUUUAGAUCAAAUAACAUGCCAUUUGAUCAAUCCCAACCUGCAGGUACCAUCCUCUUUUCUUGGUGCAUUAAUAUUCAUCAAACCAUGUAAAAUCAUCUUCACUUUCACUUCUUCAGGGAGCUUGGGAUUGGGAUUGUUGCUUACAGUCCUCUAGGAAAAGGCUUCUUCGCAUCUGGACCAAAGCUUCUUGACAACCUAGGCCAAAAUGACUUCAGAAAGGCAAGUUCAUAGUUUUUGUUUGAUUCUAUCUAAAAUGAGCUGUGGAAUAAACCAACUCCCUGUAUUUUUUUCCUUAAUUCUGUUUCUUGUUAUAGGCUCUACCAAGAUUCCAACAGGAAAACGUAGACCAAAACAAGAUUCUUUUCGAGAAUGUUUGUGCAAUGUCAGAGAAGAAAGGGUGCACUCCCGGACAACUAGCCCUGGCAUGGGUUCACCACCAGGGAGAUGAUGUUUGCCCAAUCCCAGGAACCACUAAGAUCGACAACCUCAAUCAGAACAUUGGAGCUUUAUCUGUGAAACUCACUCCCGAAGAGAUGACUGAGCUCGAGGCCAUUGUCCGACCAGAGUCUGUGAAAGGAGAAAGAUAUUGUAGCAACAUGCCCACUUUCAAGAACACUGAGUCUCCAUCAUUGUCUUCUUGGAAAGCCGCUUAAACUGGCUUUGGUGGUGCAUGAUAUUGAAGCUAGACAACUUAUGUCAGCCAGAUCAAGGUCUUAAAUGUGCUGCUUCUUCCGGGGGAAACCCAAUUGUCAAUGUGUAAUUGCAUUUGUAAAAUAAUUUUUGUAUAGAGUUCCCAAGUGAAAACUUCAAUGUAAGUUACGCUGAAAAGCACGGCCAUGGUGCACACUUUCAAGAACUCUUGACACUCCACCACCUCUUGGAAAGCCGCUUAAACUCACCUGAAAGUUUCUCUGGUUAUCGUGGUACAUUGGCCACUUAUGAAUGCCAAAUUGAGGUAACAAUAUGUUGUUGAAGUUGCCGACGUAUGCUGCUAUGCAUAUAUAAGAGCUUUAGAGCACCCUCAACGCAAAUACCCAACUUGGUUUCCUAUUUUUUUUUUUUUUCCUUUUUUUUUUUGCUGAUUUAAAAAAAAAAUUAAAAAUGAACCAAUCGUGGACUGCCACGUGUCAGUGGAAUCCGCGAAACAGUGCAAAAGACGUCCCUAAUUUCGAGAACAGAAGACAACGGUCUCCCCCUUUUUGGUGGGGCCCACACCACAUUUUCCCCUAAAACCCACCUUGCAUCCCCCGUUAAUCAUGGCCUUAUUAAGGUCAAAUAUUUAUUAUUGGUUGAUUAGCAUAUACAUCAGUAGUCUAAUACUAAAUUAAUUAUAUUAAAAUAUUAUAUUUUAUAAAAAUAAAAAAUAUAUAUAAUAAUAAUAAUAAAAUAUAAUUAUUAAUUUAAUAUAGUUAAUAAUAAAAAAAAUUUGUUUAGAUGAAAGUUAUAAAAAAAAAUUAUUUUAUGAAUAUUAUAUCUACUUAAAAAAAAUAUAAUUAAUGAUUAUAAUUUUUUGUUGAGAUGAAAAUUAUAAUUUUUAGUGAAUAGUCUUUUAUCAAUGAAGAUUAGAUUAUACUUUUAAAAUAAAAUUAAUAAUAAUAUUAUGUUUGUUGUUAGAUGAAAAUUUUAACUUUUAGUGAUGAAAUUCUUUUUUGUUUUAUGAAAAUUAGUAUUAUACGUUUUAAAACAUUUUGUUUAAUUUCUAUAUAUGUAUAUAAAUCAGUGAUUAAGGAAAAUCGGUACAGAAUAUUUUAGUUUAAAUCUCUUAUAAAUAUAGAUUAUGAUACUGAUUAGUGAAUGUAUACGCACGCUUCUUUUGCUGGUGGUACAGCAGAACAGUGAAGACGCACGCGUCUUUUAGGUUUGGUCAUCACUCAACAUUACCAUUCUCAUUCACCAACCCAAUUCCAACUCCACCAACCUCUCCACUCAAUUCAAAACUCUCUCUCUCACAACAAAAGUAUCAAAGAGAGAUAGAAAGAAAGAAAGAGGUGGGUGAGGGAAAUCAAUGGCGGAAGCUAGCGGAGUGAAGAGAAUGAAGCUGGGAAGCCAAGGCCUUGAGGUAUCUGCACAGGGCCUCGGUUGCAUGGGCCUCUCCUCCUUCUACGGUACUCCCAAGCCUGAAAGUGACGCCAUGGCUCUUCUCCACCACGCUAUCGAAUCCGGCGUCACUUUCCUAGACACUUCCGACAUCUACGGUCCUCAGACCAACGAGCUGCUCCUCGGCAAGGUUCGAUUCCCAAACUUCUUAAUCUGCGAUUUGAUCUUCUUUUUGCUAGUCGAGAUGACUUAGAUGGUUGAUUCUCUACGAGAUUGUCCUCAGAUUCUUUAGAAAUGAUUGUGUCAGGCGCUGAAGAAUGGGUUUAGGGAGAAAGUGGAGCUCGCUUCAAAAUUUGGGAUCAGCUACGGAGAGGGGAAGAGAGAGAUAAAGGGAGAUCCUUUCUAUGUUAGGGCUGCUUGUGAGGCUAGUUUGAAGCGUCUUGAUGUGGAUUGCAUUGAUCUUUAUUACCAGCAUCGCAUCGAUACUCGUGUCCCUAUCGAAAUCACUGUAAGCCAUUCUUACUCACUCUCAAAUGAAAUGGAGGACGAUGUUGUCUGCUUAUUCAUUAAGAACCAAUCUCUGGUGUGCAAUGAUCUUCGACUGAGAAGAAUCUACUGCUUCUGUGUCUCUAAUUGGUUUGCAGGCCAUUUUAGAAAGCUGGCACCUUUUUUUUUUUUUUGCUGACAUUAACAAUUUCUUGUGUAUGUUAUUUCUAAGAUGGGAGAACUAAAGAAGCUAGUUGAAGAGGGUAAAAUAAAGUACAUUGGUUUGUCUGAAGCCUCUGCCUCAACUAUCAGAAGAGCGCAUGCUGUUCACCCCAUAACUGCAGUGCAGUUGGAGUGGUCUUUGUGGUCUAGAGACGUGGAAGAAGAAAUCACCCCAACCUGCAGGUAAGAGAGAUUCAAUCCAGAUUUGCUCCUUAUUUUCUUGGUGUGUGCCACUAUCCAUCUACGUGUAAUAUGAUGUUCACUUUCCUCUUUUCAGGGAGCUUGGAAUUGGAAUUGUUGCUUACAGUCCCCUAGGACGAGGUUUCUUUGCAUCAGGACCUAAGCUUGUUGAGAAGCUUGACCAAAAUGACUUCAGAAAGGCAAGUUCAUAAGUUUUGUCUGCUUGGUGAACCUAAUAGAUUAGCUGAAGAUGUGACUCUAUAUUUUCUCAAUUCUGUUUCUUAUUGCAGACUCUACCGAGAUUCCAACAGGAAAACCUAGACCACAACAAGAUUCUGUAUGAGAAAGUUUGUGCAAUGUCUGAGAAGAAAGGGUGCACUCCGGGACAACUAGCCCUCGCGUGGGUUCACCACCAGGGAGAUGAUGUUUGCCCCAUCCCAGGAACUACUAAGAUCCAAAACCUCAAUCUGAACAUUGGAGCUCUAUCUGUGAAACUCACUCCUGAUGAGAUGCUUGAGCUCGAGACCAUUGUCCAAGCAGAGUCUGUGAAAGGAGAAAGAUAUGGUAACAUGUUGGCCACUUUCAA